Molecule: unclassified non-coding RNA, 200 nt
Filed under: Russula sp.
Lineage: Eukaryota; Fungi; Basidiomycota; Agaricomycetes; Russulales; Russulaceae
Description: partial internal transcribed spacer 2
Source: RNAcentral
UUAAGUUCAGCGGGUAGUCUCACCCGAUUUGAGGUCAAGGUUUUUGUGGGUCCAGCCUCCCGCCAGCGUAGGUGGCGGCGACCGGAGCACCAUCGUCGUCCAAGGGACUGUUAGAAGCAAGGGACAGUGCCAAAUCCAAAACGUAGAAACAUCUUAUCACGUCAAGGAUCAGCAAAGCGGACCCCACUGAUUCAUUUGGG